RNAcentral lists this long non-coding RNA (216 nucleotides) under Carica papaya (papaya). Its description in RNAcentral is "long non-coding RNA (CPAP_LNC006223)". Lineage: Eukaryota; Viridiplantae; Streptophyta; Magnoliopsida; Brassicales; Caricaceae. The record is from RNAcentral.
GGUUUACUCCAUACCCUAAAACAACAAUAUGCAAGGGGUAGUUGCAUGCAAAACCCACAAAAAAACCUGUUGGGAAGCCCUACAUUGAAUGUUGAUAUUUCCAUCUUCUAGGGUCAAAAUCCUAGAACAUCGAUAAGAAUAUGUUGAGAUGUUUUCAUGUAUAUAGCAUAGCAGAAGAAAAAAAAGUAGAAAUUUGAGCUUUUUAUCUAUUUAUUU